Long non-coding RNA from Photinus pyralis (common eastern firefly), 823 nucleotides. RefSeq lists it as uncharacterized. NCBI's taxonomy places the organism in Eukaryota, Metazoa, Arthropoda, Insecta, Coleoptera, Lampyridae. The transcript has 2 exons. The record is from RefSeq and is a predicted model, not a curated record.
UCUGCCUAUAAAAUGGUUACCUGCAUGUGCUGAGCACACUUUGAUUCCGAUCACACAGCUGUAAAACACGUUACCCGUUACACGGCUCUCGCUUUCAACCGUUUUUUUUUCAACAAGAUGUGUUUGAACAACUACGCAACAACAAAACCAAAGUCGCCCAGGUCACCAUGGCGUCAACUUAGACAGCCAAUUAAGCCUAGACUCUCGCGGAAGGUUAUCAAAUCAGCACGCGUCAAUCUCAACCGCUAUUGGAGCAAAUUCGAGGAGCUUUCCAAGGGUAGCGAAACGUCGACCGCCGACAAUGAGGUUAACGAAAACAUCUGUAACGAACUCAAAGCUUCUUUACGUAUGUAAGUUUUAGGAUAGUGCAAAUGUGAUAUUAGCUUAGGAAAUCGUCGUCUUCCACUGUAGUUUUGUAAAUAAAAAGCACAUGAAGUAGUUGCUCAAGCUUUAACUUAAGUUAUUAGUCUGUGAUCGCGAGCUUUAAAUGUUAAUUUAGCACGUUGUAAAUAAAAAGAAAAUAGGCCGCCUAGUGUCAAUUGUUUGUAAAUACGUUGCAUGUAAAUUAGUUUUUAAGAGCACUUUGUAAAUUGUUCACCGUUGCCGAUGUAGUUUUCGUAGUUUUACAACGCUCAAAGUAAAGCUAUGUGAUAAGUUUUAUUGAGUGGCAACCUGUAAAGUGAUCAUUUUGUAUAUUUCAUCUGUGAUAUCAGCUUCUAUGAUUUCUGGGGGUAUUUUUAAGAUUUUAGUUUAAUUAGCUCUUAGCUUUCUCGAUUAAGUUAAAUUGUAAGGUAUUUUUUAAUAAACAAAAUUUUGCUAGCAA